AGGACGAACGCUGGCGGCGCGCUUAAUACAUGCAAGUCGAGCGAGAACCAGGCCUUCGGGCCUGGGGAAAGCGGCGAACGGGUGAGUAACACGUGAGUAACCUGCCCCUAGCUCUGGGAUAGCUCCGGGAAACCGGGAUUAAUACCAGAUACGACCACUUUAGACAUCUGUCGUGGUGGAAAGGAUUCCGGCUAGGGAUGGGCUCGCGGCCUAUCAGCUUGUUGGUGGGUAACGGCCUACCAAGGCGACGACGGGUAGCCGGCCUGAGAGGGCGACCGGCCACACUGGGACUGAGACACGGCCCAGACUCCUACGGGAGGCAGCAGUGGGGAAUAUUGCGCAAUGGGCGAAAGCCUGACGCAGCGACGCCGCGUGGGGAUGAAGGCCUUCGGGUUGUAAGCUCUUUCGCUAGGACGAUAAUGACGGUACCUAGACAAGAAGCCCGGCUAACUUCGCGCCAGCAGCCGC
Molecule: ribosomal RNA, 468 nt
Filed under: uncultured bacterium
Lineage: Bacteria
Description: SSU rRNA
Rfam family: Bacterial small subunit ribosomal RNA
Source: RNAcentral